Long non-coding RNA from Brienomyrus brachyistius, 1095 nucleotides. RefSeq lists it as uncharacterized. Lineage: Eukaryota; Metazoa; Chordata; Actinopteri; Osteoglossiformes; Mormyridae. The record is from RefSeq and is a predicted model, not a curated record. The transcript is spliced from 2 exons.
ACAAAACCUUGGUCUGGAUUUGUACUUUCUGAACCUGAAUUUUCCUUCUUUAUCUCUGGCCAUAAGUAGUCUGCAUCUCUAACAUAUGCUUAGGGGGAAAAGAUUAUAGCGUUGUUGCGGCAGCAACUGGGCUGUGCUUUCUGACGGUUGGAAAGGUAACAGCAAAAAUAUUGAAAAACUAUGCUUAAGUUCUAAUGAUAGUUAAAAAGUUGUUUCUGUAGAAGGAUAUUCUGCCAGGCUGUGCUCUUUACGCGACUGCUUGCAGGAAACACGACGCAUUCCUUGUAUCAGCGAACUUUUUUUCCAGCUUCUCUGGUGGUUUUUCUGGCUCUCAGUCAUUUGUUGUUUACUGUAAUUCCUUAAGCCGCCAAAUAUGUCAUCUAAGCAAGAAAAAACGAAUGCUGACCAUUCCAUGGUGCACACCAAAGCCUCAGAUUGGCUUCCCGGGAGCAGUAGGGACAUCUGAGCCGACCAGCCUGUGAGUUUCCCGGGGGAAGACGAAUCAAACCGUUUGGGACCACGAUACGAAACACAUUUAUUAAUGAAACUGUCUAACAGCCAAAUGCUUCACAGUGUUUCGUGACUUUAUACUUUUCAAGACCCUCGCCGUUAUCUGGUGGCUAAGGAUGUGAAGGUAACUUUUUAAAGCAAAGGGCGAUCUUCAGGACUUCCAUCCAUCCAUCCACCCAUCUAUAUCCGUUAGUCCUCCUGUGUUGGGUCCCGUGUGUCUGGAAACUUCGGGCACAAGGCAGGGGCACCACACCAUUCACACCUACGGACAAUUUGGCAAAUCCAGUUCACCUGUUUUCCGACUGUUCAUUCCAUUCAUAUUUUCAGACUGUGGGAUGAAACCGGAGAAGCCGGGGGAGUGUUAUAGCGUAACACAGGGGGUGUUCCACAAAGCCGGGAUUCUCAGUUAGCGGGGUUAACUUAAGCUAGAAGUCAUGAUUGUCCGAUAGGAAUGCUCCUUACCUAAACACUUACAGGACAAUCGUGAUAUAUAUCUUAAGUUAAUCCAGCUAACUGAUAAAUACCCCGCUGCUUUUUGAAACACCUCCCAAGGAACCUAACAAAAUAAAAUCAAAACACAAAGUU